Molecule: ribosomal RNA, 657 nt
Filed under: Vibrio parahaemolyticus
Lineage: Bacteria; Pseudomonadati; Pseudomonadota; Gammaproteobacteria; Vibrionales; Vibrionaceae
Description: partial 23S ribosomal RNA
Rfam family: Bacterial large subunit ribosomal RNA
Source: RNAcentral
GGUUAAGUGACUAAGCGUACACGGUGGAUGCCUUGGCAGUCAGAGGCGAUGAAAGACGUAGUAACUUGCGAUAAGCCCAGAUUAGGUAGUAACAACCAUUUGAGUCUGGGAUUUCUGAAUGGGGAAACCCACGUGCAUAAGCACGUAUCCUUACCUGAAUACAUAGGGUAAGGAGGCGAACCGGGGGAACUGAAACAUCUAAGUACCCCGAGGAAAAGAAAUCAACCGAGAUUCCGAAAGUAGCGGCGAGCGAAAUUGGACUAGCCCUUAAGCUUUACACGCGUUAGACGAACGGUCUGGAAAGUCCGACGAUACAGGGUGAUAGUCCCGUAGUUGACGACGUGUGUUCAGUGAAAUCGAGUAGGGCGGGACACGUGAUAUCCUGUCUGAAUAUGGGGGGACCAUCCUCCAAGGCUAAAUACUACUGACUGACCGAUAGUGAACCAGUACCGUGAGGGAAAGGCGAAAAGAACCCCUGUGAGGGGAGUGAAAUAGAACCUGAAACCGUGUACGUACAAGCAGUAGGAGCAGGCUUUGUCCUGUGACUGCGUACCUUUUGUAUAAUGGGUCAGCGACUUAUAUUCAGUGGCAAGGUUAACCAUCUAGGGGAGCCGUAGGGAAACCGAGUCUUAACUGGGCGUUCAGUCUCUGGAUAUA